This 314-nucleotide long non-coding RNA is filed under the name Medicago truncatula (barrel medic). RNAcentral's name for it is "long non-coding RNA (MTRU_LNC000554)". The record is from RNAcentral. Lineage: Eukaryota; Viridiplantae; Streptophyta; Magnoliopsida; Fabales; Fabaceae.
AUUUGUUCGUUUUAGUUCGUUUGUUGAUUUUAUUUUUCGUUUCACUUUACCUUUUUACCAAUUACCAAUUUUAAUUCAUUUUAUUUUUUUAUUUACAUUUCGGUCCCCCAAAAGAGUCCCAAAAUUGCAUUUUUGUCCAAUACUUUUUUUAAUUGCAUUUUUUUUAGUCUUUUUUUUUUAUUGCAGAUUAGUCCUCAUAUUAACUUUUUUGCAGAUUAGUCCUUAAGUCCAAAACAGUCCAGGUGUCAAUUUUCCAUUGGGUCUCCAAUACACAUGGCAGGCUAUAAAUAGUAAAUGUGUCAGAUCCAUCACAA